CCGCCCAGAGUCCAGACCGGCGAACGGCCAUACCAGUCCAAUCCAACGAGGAUGGUUGAAGUUAACUGCAGUUAUUGUUGGUUCUUGUGCUUCGAAAUAAUCCUAAAAUUAUCGUUACUUCUCAGUUUUUUAUAAUGUUGUGCAUUGAGUAGUACCUUUGUGCAUUGUUCAUAGCGGUCGAGAACGAGUUAACCCCUAACUUUGAGGAAUGGGAUUGGCACAUAUCCUCUAUUUGGCUGCAAAAUGGUACUGGAGUUGAUAAAUUCGAUAUGUACUAGGAUAUGGAAUAUGAUGACUGAUCUGCAAUGUGUAGGAAGAAUUAAGUGACAAGAGGUCCAGGGUACACGCAAGUUUUUUUUUUAUUCAUUGAAACUUUUAUUAAGGAUCAAACAACUGAUUUGUCUCUUGGUUUAAUUAAAUCGUCACCAAAAUUUGAAACGUUCUUAUGCAACACUAACGCUAUAAAUUUUCUUUUACAUAAUGAUAUAAUAUUUAUUUAGCAGUAUAGGUCUAUACAACUAAUAUAGGAAUUAUAAUUUGGGGUAUCGAAUAUUAUACUAAUUAAUAAAUAACAUUGUAUUCAUAUUUUAAAUUAAGUCUAUAGGUUUGUUAGUAGAGUGGUUCACAAUGGUUCUCAACUGUACAGAUCUGAUAGAUCUUCCCCACGCUUAAAAUGGAAUUUUGCUUACUAUGUACAGUUCACAAUCUCUACGAACAAACCUUAUAAUUGGAAAAUUAGUGGCAUGCAGACAAUUAUUCUGAAAAAAGUACCUCCUCUUCGAGUCCUGCUCAAAGAGGUACUUUUUUUUAGUACUAGCACAGCUGUCUAAUUGUUUCGGAACAUAAAUUCUAUUGAAUUUAGGGCUACAAAAUUUCCUUGAAGUGAUGCAUUCCCUCUCAUAUUGGCAAUAAUAAUGAGGUUCAUUCUUUGAAAUCUACAAGUUGUUACAAUAUUAAUAUCUGAAUAAUAAACCUAAGGAAAUUUACUGAAAGUAAAGCCUAUUUGUGAAGGCAUUCAAUAACCUGACACAAUAUAGAAGUAUAAAGUUCAU
Coccinella septempunctata (seven-spotted ladybird) is the source of this 1052-nucleotide long non-coding RNA. RefSeq lists it as uncharacterized. NCBI's taxonomy places the organism in Eukaryota, Metazoa, Arthropoda, Insecta, Coleoptera, Coccinellidae. The transcript has 2 exons. The record is from RefSeq and is a predicted model, not a curated record.